This 250-nucleotide ribosomal RNA is filed under the name uncultured bacterium. RNAcentral describes it as "partial 16S ribosomal RNA". It matches the Rfam family "Bacterial small subunit ribosomal RNA", at positions 524 to 773 of the family's 1533-position model. The record is from RNAcentral.
UACGUAGGUGGCAAGCGUUAUCCGGAUUUAUUGGGCGUAAAGCGCGCGUAGGUGGUUCUUCAAGUCAGAUGUUAAAUCUCUCGGCUUAACUGGGAGCGGUCAUCUGAUACUGCUGGACUUGAGGGCGGUAGAGGGAGGUGGAAUUCCCGGUGUAGUGGUGAAAUGCGUAGAUAUCGGGAGGAACACCAGUGGCGAAAGCGGCCUCCUAGGCCGUUCCUGACACUGAGGCGCGAAAGCGUGGGGAGCGAAC